AAAAAGGAAGCAUAAAGUUAUUUAUUCAUAUCAUGUACAAAUGUCACAAGAACCAAUGUAAUCCGCGAAGCUGGACCAGGAAACUGGCAAAAACCAGCGAGUCGCCAUUCUGUAUAACAUUUUCCAAAAUUGAGCAUAUAGUCUACCACUGUAAAAGUUCACUUAUAUCAUACUCAUCAUCCUUAAACUUUAUUGAUUGAAAAUUUCGAGUAAUCAUAUACUAUUACAUUACAUGAUUGCGGUUGUUGAAUACUGUGCACAUGCGUGAUUGCAGUUGUUGUCUCAUAUGGGUUCUUUUCAGUAUUAUAUUCUGAUUUUCAAUAUAAAUUUAUUAAUCUAGGUUCAUUAUUAGAUGUGUCUGCAUCAUUUGGUAUGGACAGAGUUGCUAUGUUGGAGCACUGCUUUAUGUGGUGGACCUUACAAAUUGAUAAAGAUGGGUCCCUGAUUUAUGUGUUGGAGCACUGCAGAAGUAGAAUUUUGAACCAUUGCUCAAGUAGAAUUUCUUAACAGAUCAUCAUUUUCAAAUUUAGAAUGAGAAAGCCAUUUGUUGAGAUGCAGUGGACAAUCGACUCAUUGAUCAAUGGAAGGUUACAAAGCUGAAAGAGUAUGUAAGGUAGGAUUUGGGUUCACUCAGCUUCAAAGAUUUGUCGAGGGCUCUACAAGUUAUUCCAGUGAUGCUUUAGAACAUAGAGAAUUAUGUUGCACGUAAAUUAACUUGAAAGCAUGUUGCCUUCAUGAAGCUUUUACUAGGUUUUUGUAAGCACUCUUGGUUGGUUCAUAUUGCAUGUAUCUUUUGAGGCGGCUAAAGUACAUUAAUGGAAAAAACUAAAAUCUUAUGGUGGUCUUUAAACAUAUGUCAAAUUAUA
This 866-nucleotide long non-coding RNA is filed under the name Trifolium pratense (red clover). RNAcentral describes it as "long non-coding RNA (TPRA_LNC008173)". The record is from RNAcentral. Lineage: Eukaryota; Viridiplantae; Streptophyta; Magnoliopsida; Fabales; Fabaceae.